This 439-nucleotide ribosomal RNA is filed under the name uncultured bacterium. RNAcentral describes it as "partial 16S ribosomal RNA". It matches the Rfam family "Bacterial small subunit ribosomal RNA", at positions 339 to 795 of the family's 1533-position model. The record is from RNAcentral.
CUACGGGUGGCACCAGUGAGGAAUAUUGCACAAUGGGGGGAACCCUGAUGCAGCAACGCCGCGUGGAGGAUGACGCAUUUCGGUGUGUAAACUCCUUUUAUAUGUCAAGAAAAUGACGGUAGCAUAUGAAUAAGCACCGGCUAACUCCGUGCCAGCAGCCGCGGUAAUACGGAGGGUGCAAGCGUUACUCGGAAUCACUGGGCGUAAAGGACGCGUAGGCGGGUUGGAAAGUCAGGUGUGAAAUCCUACAGCUUAACUGUAGAACUGCACUUGAAACUUCUAAUCUAGAGUAUGGGAGGGGGAGAUGGAAUUAGUGGUGUAGGGGUAAGAUCCGUAGAUAACACUAGGAAUACCUAAAGCGAAGGCGAUCUCCUGGAACAUUACUGACGCUAAGGCGUGAAAGCGUGGGGAGCAAACAGGAUUAGAUACCCUCGUAGUC